Acanthosepion pharaonis is the source of this 111-nucleotide non-coding RNA. The record is from the annotation of a GenBank genome assembly. NCBI's taxonomy places the organism in Eukaryota, Metazoa, Mollusca, Cephalopoda, Sepiida, Sepiidae.
UUACAGCCAUACCAUGUUGAAACACCAGUUCUCAUCCGAUCACUAAGUUAAGCAAUGUCAAGCCUGGUUAGUACCAAGAUGGGUAACCUUAUGAGAAUACCAUAUGGUGCA